UAGGGUGGUUAUAGCAUUGGGGCUCACCUCUUCCCAUACCGAACAGAGAAGUUAAGCCCAAUAGCGCCGAUGGUACUGCAUUUAUGUGGGAGAGUAGGUCGCCGCCUUUC
Molecule: ribosomal RNA, 110 nt
Organism: Polaribacter sp. KT25b
Lineage: Bacteria; Pseudomonadati; Bacteroidota; Flavobacteriia; Flavobacteriales; Flavobacteriaceae
Source: Rfam